This 497-nucleotide ribosomal RNA is filed under the name uncultured bacterium. Its description in RNAcentral is "partial 16S ribosomal RNA". It matches the Rfam family "Bacterial small subunit ribosomal RNA", at positions 28 to 507 of the family's 1533-position model. The record is from RNAcentral.
GAUGAACGCUGGCGGCGUGCCUAAUACAUGCAAGUAGAACGCUGAAGCUUGGUGCUUGCACCGAGCGGAUGAGUUGCGAACGGGUGAGUAACGCGUAGGUAACCUGCCUGGUAGCGGGGGAUAACUAUUGGAAACGAUAGCUAAUACCGCAUAACAGUAGAUAUUGCAUGAUAUCUGCUUGAAAGGUGCAAAUGCAUCACUACCAGAUGGACCUGCGUUGUAUUAGCUAGUUGGUGAGGUAACGGCUCACCAAGGCGACGAUACAUAGCCGACCUGAGAGGGGGAUCGGCCACACUGGGACUGAGACACGGCCCAGACUCCUACGGGAGGCAGCAGUAGGGAAUCUUCGGCAAUGGGGGGAACCCUGACCGAGCAACGCCGCGUGAGUGAAGAAGGUUUUCGGAUCGUAAAGCUCUGUUGUAAGAGAAGAACGAGUGUGAGAGUGGAAAGUUCACACUGUGACGGUAUCUUACCAGAAAGGGACGGCUAACUACGUG